This 680-nucleotide ribosomal RNA is filed under the name uncultured bacterium. Its description in RNAcentral is "bacterial SSU rRNA". It matches the Rfam family "Bacterial small subunit ribosomal RNA", at positions 13 to 671 of the family's 1533-position model. The record is from RNAcentral.
GUGAUCCUGGCUCAGGACGAACGCUGGCGGCGUGCCUAAUACAUGCAAGUCGAGCGGAUCAAUUAAGAGCUUGCUCUUAUGAGAUCAGCGGCGGACGGGUGAGUAACACGUGGGCAACCUGCCUUACAGACUGGGAUAACUCCGGGAAACCGGGGCUAAUACCGGAUGAUCAAUGGAAUUGCAUAAUUCUAUUGUAAAGGUUGGGAUUUAUCCUAACACUGUAAGAUGGGCCCGCGGCGCAUUAGCUAGUUGGUGAGGUAACGGCUCACCAAGGCAACGAUGCGUAGCCGACCUGAGAGGGUGAUCGGCCACACUGGAACAGAGACACGGUCCAGACUCCUACGGGAGGCAGCAGUAGGGAAUCAUCCGCUAUGGGCGAAAGCCUGACGGUGCAACGCCGCGUGAACGAUGAAGGUCUUCGGAUUGUAAAGUUCUGUUGUUAGGGAAGAACAAGUGCCAUUCGAAUAGGUUGGCACCUCGACGGUACCUAACCAGAAAGCCCCGGCUAACUACGUGCCAGCAGCCGCGGUAAUACGUAGGGGGCAAGCGUUGUCCGGAAUUAUUGGGCGUAAAGCGCGCGCAGGCGGUCUCUUAAGUCUGAUGUGCAAGCCCACGGCUCAACCGUGGAGGGUCUUUGGAAACUGGGGGACUUGAGUGUAGGAGAGGAAAGUGGAAUUCCA